ACUCCUACGGGAGGCAGCAGUGAGGAAUAUUGGUCAAUGGGCGAAAGACCUGAACCAGCCAUGUCGCGUGCAGGACGACUGCCCUAUGGUUGUAAACUGCUUUUAUAUGGAAGAAAUGCGAGUACGUGUACUUGUUUGCCGGUACCAUAUGAAUAAGCAUCGGCUAACUCCGUGCCAGCAGCCGCGGUAAUACGGAGGAUGCGAGCGUUAUCCGGAUUCAUUGGGGUUUAAAGGGUGCGUAGGCGGAAGUGUAAGUCAGGGGUGAAAGUUUGCAGCUCAACUGUAAAAUUGCCUUUGAUACUGCAUUUCUUGAGUACAUUUGAGGUAGGCGGAAUGUGUUGUGUAGCGGUGAAAUGCUUAGAUAUAACACAGAACACCGAUUGCGAAGGCAGCUUACUAAACUGUAACUGACGCUGAUGCACGAAAGCGUGGGGAUCGAACAGGAUUAGAUACCCUGGAGCACAGAG
Molecule: ribosomal RNA, 467 nt
Filed under: uncultured bacterium
Lineage: Bacteria
Description: bacterial SSU rRNA
Rfam family: Bacterial small subunit ribosomal RNA
Source: RNAcentral